CUCCUCUGGAUUAGUGGCGAACGGGUGAGUAACACGUGAGCAAUCUGCCCUUGACUCUGGGAUAAGCGCUGGAAACGGCGUCUAAUACCGGAUACGACCCUCGGAGGCAUCUCCUGUGGGUGGAAAGAACUUCGGUCAAGGAUGAGCUCGCGGCCUAUCAGCUUGUUGGUGAGGUAACGGCUCACCAAGGCGACGACGGGUAGCCGGCCUGAGAGGGUGACCGGCCACACUGGGACUGAGACACGGCCCAGACUCCUACGGGAGGCAGCAGUGGGGAAUAUUGCACAAUGGGCGCAAGCCUGAUGCAGCAACGCCGCGUGAGGGACGACGGCCUUCGGGUUGUAAACCUCUUUUAGCAGGGAAGAAGCGAGAGUGACGGUACCUGCAGAAAAAGCACCGGCUAACUACGUGCCAGCAGCCGCGGUAAUACGUAGGGUGCAAGCGUUGUCCGGAAUUAUUGGGCGUAAAGAGCUCGUAGGCGGUCUGUCGCGUCUGCUGUGAAAACCCGAGGCUCAACCUCGGGCUUGCAGUGGGUACGGGCAGACUAGAGUGCGGUAGGGGAGAUUGGAAUUCCUGGUGUAGCGGUGGAAUGCGCAGAUAUCAGGAGGAACACCGAUGGCGAAGGCAGAUCUCUGGGCCGUAACUGACGCUGAGGAGCGAAAGCGUGGGGAGCAAACAGGCUUAGAUACCCUGGUAGUCCACGCCGUAAACGUUGAGAACUAUAUGUGGGG
RNAcentral lists this ribosomal RNA (731 nucleotides) under Agrococcus terreus. RNAcentral's name for it is "bacterial SSU rRNA". It matches the Rfam family "Bacterial small subunit ribosomal RNA", at positions 82 to 827 of the family's 1533-position model. The record is from RNAcentral. Lineage: Bacteria; Bacillati; Actinomycetota; Actinomycetes; Micrococcales; Microbacteriaceae.